Pogonomyrmex barbatus (red harvester ant) is the source of this 810-nucleotide long non-coding RNA. The record is from RefSeq and is a predicted model, not a curated record. NCBI's taxonomy places the organism in Eukaryota, Metazoa, Arthropoda, Insecta, Hymenoptera, Formicidae.
CAAUCCUUCUCGCGAGUCUUUCCCGAUUCGUCUCACCCGUUCGCGUCUUCUCGUACGUCCGGCCGUCCGCGAUUUCUUCGGAACGACACGCGUACCAUCGACGUACCAUCCGAUUAUUCGAAAGAUAUUCGGUAGAAAUGCCGAGUGUAACGCAGAUGAGAAAAACGACGUGUAAAAGUGACGUGGUAACUCAUUCGCGAAAGUUUUGAUAACUUUGGAUAACUACUCAACGAGAACAAUUAUGAGUUUCUAGCGUUUUCCGCCACAUUGAAAUCGAAAGAGCUUCGGGAGGCGGUUUUCGGUUUUCGGCAGGCCAAGAUCGAGAGGGUAGGAGGGAAAGAGACUCGGCCCGGAGGGAGGAUCCGACGCGAAUAGUACGACGAUGGUUACAUUCUAUGGAUCAGAGAGCUCGAUAGCGUGCCGAAGUCGAGGCGAACGGCAAUAAAUCCAUUUUUCGUGAAGGGUCGGUCGAGGGGCGAGUGCGCGCCGGGGUCUGAUUAGCAGCCUGACUCGGCCGUACAGGAUGACAGCCGGUUCCCGCAUAUACUAAAGAAGAGGAUAAAUAUAAAUUAACCGACGUCGCGCUGCACACGAGGGAUACGCAGGACAAAGGGGUCGAUUCCUAGGUGCCCCUGAUCCCGCGGAGAUUCGCUGAUUCUCAAACGAAGGGAAGCGGGGAGGACGAUUGGGACUGCGCGCGAUUUGUCGUACGGAUUUGCGUGUUGCUGACAUGCUAUAAGAAUGAUUGUUGAACUACAUCGUUCGUGUUAUAUUAGGUUGCACAUUUAUCUACAAUUUGCAAUGCUACCA